AAAAGCAUCCUUAAUUACUGAGGCAUUAGAAACCUCCCACCCUGCUUGGAGUGCCUUUCCAAAGUGAAGCUAGAGGAGUGUUUCUCAAGCCUCUGUUUCUCACGGGAAGCUUUGGCCCUUGCAAGUGAUGGACUCUGGUGCUGCAAGGGAAAACCACCUGGUAAUGAUCAAAGGAGAUAGGUUGAAGUUCUCCUGGAAAGAUGGACAUGUCAGACAACAAUGUAUGACCUGCUCUGGUGGACCCUUCUCCUCCCUCUAAAAAACACCCUGAUAUCAUCACUGCAAGGUUCUCUCAGAAAUCAUCACUGAUCUAAAAAGGGGAUGACUGAAACAUAUACCUAUUUGAAGAUUCCUGGAACCCAGUUAGACCAGAAGAAGCUCAAAUGGAACCUGAAUUACACCAUGUUGGUGAGAUUCCAACUACUGUCAGCACGUGGACUCAUUUACAUGAUAGAAAGAAGCAGCAAGUCACCAACAAUUAGUAGAAGAUACCCAUAGGUUAAAAGAAAAGUGGAUGUAAUAUAGUCAAUUUAUCAUACAUUUGGGGAAUUUCAAGCUUCUGGUUUUAUUUAAUGAAUAAAGAAGAAUGUUCAAGAAGACAAAGUACCUACACAGCCUAAAAAGAAGAAAAUUCUGUCAUUUGCAACAAUGUGGAUGAACCUGGAGACAUUGUCCUAAGUGAAAUAAGCCAGCCACAGAAAGACAAAUACUGCAUGAUCUCACUUGUAUGUGAAAUCUAAAAAGUCAAACUCAUAGAAGCAGAGAGUAAAAUCAUGGUUGCUGGAGGCUGUGGAAGUGGGAAAUGAGAAAGAGAUGUUGGUAAAGGGUAUAAAGUUUCAGUUAGAAGGAGUAAGUCUUAGUGCUCUAUUACACAGCGUGGUAACCAUGGUUGAUAAUGACAUAUACUUCAAAAUUUCUAAAAGAGUAGUUUUUAAAGGUCUUCAUUAUAAAAAAUAAAAAGUAGAUGAGAUAAAGGGCAUGUUAAUUAGCUUGAUUUAAUCGUCCUACAAUCUAUACACAUAUUAAAAUAUCACAUUGUAUCCCAUAAAUACACACAACUAUUAUUUGUCUAUUAAAAAUUCUUUUAAUUAAAAUAAAUACAGGGAAAGGAGUUACUUCUUUUUUUUUUCAUUUUUGUAUAUUGAAGAAAAUUGCUCACAAUCUUAAGCCUUACUGUACAAAUAGUUAAAAGAGUAAGUUAGUAUGCCCUAUGGAUUGGUUACACUUUUAACUUUACCAAAAAUGUAUUUACAGGUGUGGUAAAGGAGGUAUUCAUCAUAUUGUUUGUGAUUUAAAACCUUAAAUUGUGCACAAUUACAAUUGGAUGACAGUUCUAGAGCUUUCCUUUGUUUCAUCAGUCAUGCUAACUGAUCUUUCAGAAUGGAUGCUAAUUUCUCUGUGUUUCAAAGACAGCUUUAUGAAUGUCAUAGGUUAAAGGGAGAAAAUGCCACAUCAAUUUGAUUAAUAUUCUGAGCUAAUGGAAAAAGAAUGAUUGAUUUUAAUUUCCUUCACUACAACAACCAUACCUGUAGAAUGAUGUGCUGGAAAAUGAAGAAAAGAACUGAUGUGGUACUUGUAGAGGCAGCUAUAACAAAGGUUAAGACCUGAAACUCCACAGUUUGACAACUCAUAUUCUAACUCUGGCUUGACAUUUAUAAAUGCCUGUUUCCACAUGGGUUUAUUGGGGAUUAAAUAGAUACUACAUAUAAAGCACCUAAAAUAGUGCCUGGUACAACAGUGUGAUACCUCUACAAACCCACCAGGAUACCUAAAAUAAAAACAUUCAAAUAAUACUAAAUGUGAAAAAAGAAUGUGGAACAUCUAAAACUCAUAUAUUGCUACUUGCAAAUAAUAGAACCUCAGUAAAGAAGUACAUAAAACAUUAGAAAAUAUGUUAGCAGUCACUGGUCCUAGAGGUUUAGGUUUGUAACAAAUUUUGGUGUUUCUUUUUCUAAUUUUAAUAUUUCCUUUUCCUUACUCAAUAAUGAGGGUACGGUUAGCAAAUAAAAGAAAUUAUAUUUAAAUGUCACUGUUCUUCAAAGGAUUUUAGACACUCCAUCAACAUUUUCAUUUUCAUUCUCAUUGUUCAACAUCCUACUAUGUUAUUUGGACUCAUUUCUUCCUGUGACAUAAAAAUAUAUCCAGUAGGGCUCCCAGUGAAUUUAAUCUGACUCCUUUUGGCAAAAGAGACCUCAGAUGAAUGUUAGAUUCUAGAGCUUUGGCAAGGCAAGCAGUCGGUCGGUCAUGCUUCAAUAUUCCCUUAUCUCAUUAACCACCUCACCACUUUCCUACAUUAAACAGAAAACAGUUCCUGAAAAUCUGUGUCUGGAAGAUUUCUCCCUUCAGCUUAAUAGAACACCUGUUGUAGUGGCCAACAUCCUGUGACUUCACAUGGUUUCAUCACGAAAAGUGAUGAAAAAAAAUACUAGCCUUAAAAAGCAUUCCAUCCUGACCAUCAGCUUCAAAGUGGUCUUGCCUGGUCCACAGAGGCUGUGUACAAGAUGCUUCUGUGUCAUGUGUUUCACCUUCUGAUGUAAACAGCCAAGUUUUACCUUACUUUAAUAUUAAAUCUCCACCCCAAAGUGAUCAAGUGAUCAUGGGACAUAGGUACCAUAUAUGCAUGCGUUAGGGUUCCCUCAUAAAUAUUCAUAAGAUUCUCCUAUAUCCUACUAUAUUUGUAUGCAUACCUAAUCUCAAAAAGAAAUCUCAGUCUCUCUACCUUUUGUCUCUGAAGCACCUGCUUUCAACUUCUGCCAGAGGUUCUGUUCCCCAACCUACAGGCUGUAAUUUUUUACAAGAAACAAAGCUCUCCUUUUCUGCUUUUAUAGAUCUUAUUGUUUUAAGUUGACAUUCUUUACCACAGGCUCUUUCUUCAGCUCCAAGUUUCUGUUAAAUGGCUAUGUAUGGCAAUAUUACUAUUUUUUUUACUUUGCUGUUUCUAUAUAGAACUGUUCCUAAGGCCUUAGUGUUUUCCCUCCUCAGAUUUCUAUCAAGGUAUUUUCUAAGCAAAGGUAAAUGCCUUCUUCUUUUUAGGAAUUCAGAGCCAGCUGUAAACAUAGAAAUUAUUUCUCUUCAACCCACCUUCUCGUUUGACCAAAACAGAACACUAUUUUUUUUUCUCAUUUGCCUAUGGAUGAUGAAAGAAAUUUAAUUGUGUGGGAUAAGUCAAGGUUUCAGCUGUAAGUUUAGUUUUGGUUCUCUAGAUGUGACACCUGUUAAGAUGAGCAAAUGAAGACUGGCCUGUAGUAGAUUAGCUACCUUUAUGAAAGACUACAAAUCAUUUUGUACUAAAUAGUUAAUAUUUCUGUGAUAAUCCAAUAAUCACACUGGAGUCAGGGAGAGAAGACCCAAGCCCUGUUUCCAGGUAUCCUACUCUUUUCGUGAUUUGGGGAAAGGCAUUUUAUCUCUUCGGUGAAAGUGUUUUCAUUUGUAAGAUGAAUACAUUUGAUCAGUUGAUCUCUUUCUAAAGUAAUGAUGUUGACCUAUUUAAAAGAUACUAUUUUAAAAUACAUAAACUUGCUUCCAAGCUUGUGAUCUUUUGGUUUACCAAAGAUAGUACAUGACUCUAUAUUCAAUAGCUUCUUGGCUAUUUUAAAAAUAACAUUUCAUUUUUUUAAAAAAUUAUAGAAUACUUCAGCUGUGUGGGAGGAAAAAAAAUCUUCUAAUUAUAGGAGGAUAGCAAUAUCUACCCAAAAGACCUUAAUAUAGAACAACCAUAUUUUCUUUUUUCAGUUCACAGGUUUAAUUCAUAUAACUUAGGAAACUGGAAGAUG
Long non-coding RNA from Callithrix jacchus (white-tufted-ear marmoset), 3773 nucleotides. RefSeq lists it as uncharacterized. NCBI's taxonomy places the organism in Eukaryota, Metazoa, Chordata, Mammalia, Primates, Cebidae. The record is from RefSeq and is a predicted model, not a curated record.